ACAUCCAGAGAAUUUAGCAGAGAUGCUUUAGUGCCUUCGGGAACUCUGAGACAGGUGCUGCAUGGCUGUCGUCAGCUCGUGUUGUGAAAUGUUGGGUUAAGUCCCGCAACGAGCGCAACCCUUAUCCUUUGUUGCCAGCACGUAAUGGUGGGAACUCAAAGGAGACUGCCGGUGAUAAACCGGAGGAAGGUGGGGAUGACGUCAAGUCAUCAUGGCCCUUACGAGUAGGGCUACACACGUGCUACAAUGGCGCAUACAAAGAGAAGCGACCUCGCGAGAGCAAGCGGACCUCAUAAAGUGCGUCGUAGUCCGGAUUGGAGUCUGCAACUCGACUUCAUGAAGUCGGAAUCGCUAGUAAUCGUAAAUCAGAAUGUUACGGUGAAUACGUUCCCGGGCCUUGUACACACCGCCCGUCACACCAUGGGAGUGGGUUGCAAAAGAAGUAGAUAGCUUAACCUUCGGGAGGGCGUUUACCACUUUGUGAUUCAUGACUGGGGUGAAGUCGUAACAAGGUAAGCGUAGUGCU
Molecule: ribosomal RNA, 526 nt
Filed under: uncultured bacterium
Lineage: Bacteria
Description: bacterial SSU rRNA
Rfam family: Bacterial small subunit ribosomal RNA
Source: RNAcentral